RNAcentral lists this ribosomal RNA (430 nucleotides) under uncultured Pantoea sp. RNAcentral's name for it is "bacterial SSU rRNA". It matches the Rfam family "Bacterial small subunit ribosomal RNA", at positions 354 to 776 of the family's 1533-position model. The record is from RNAcentral. Lineage: Bacteria; Pseudomonadati; Pseudomonadota; Gammaproteobacteria; Enterobacterales; Erwiniaceae.
GUGGGGAAUAUUGCACAAUGGGCGCAAGCCUGAUGCAGCCAUGCCGCGUGUAUGAAGAAGGCCUUCGGGUUGUAAAGUACUUUCAGCGGGGAGGAAGGCGGUGGAGUUAAUAACUUCACCGAUUGACGUUACCCGCAGAAGAAGCACCGGCUAACUCCGUGCCAGCAGCCGCGGUAAUACGGAGGGUGCAAGCGUUAAUCGGAAUUACUGGGCGUAAAGCGCACGCAGGCGGUCUGUCAAGUCGGAUGUGAAAUCCCCGGGCUUAACCUGGGAACUGCAUUCGAAACUGGCAGGCUAGAGUCUUGUAGAGGGGGGUAGAAUUCCAGGUGUAGCGGUGAAAUGCGUAGAGAUCUGGAGGAAUACCGGUGGCGAAGGCGGCCCCCUGGACAAAGACUGACGCUCAGGUGCGAAAGCGUGGGGAGCAAACAGG